RNAcentral lists this ribosomal RNA (450 nucleotides) under uncultured bacterium. RNAcentral's name for it is "partial 16S ribosomal RNA". It matches the Rfam family "Bacterial small subunit ribosomal RNA", at positions 354 to 796 of the family's 1533-position model. The record is from RNAcentral.
GCUAAGAAUAUUCCGCAAUGGACGAAAGUCUGACGGAGCGACGCCGCGUGGAUGAGGAAGGCCGAAAGGUUGUAAAGUCCUUUUGUCGAUGAAGAAUAAGUGGUGGAGGGAAUGCCAUCAUGAUGACGUUAGUCGGCGAAUAAGCCCCGGCUAAUUACGUGCCAGCAGCCGCGGUAACACGUAAGGGGCAAGCGUUGUUCGGAAUUAUUGGGCGUAAAGGGUACGUAGGCGGUUAUGUAAGCCCGGCGUGAAAUCCUGCAGCUUAACUGUAGAGCUGCGCUGGGAACUGCGUAACUUGAGUCAUGGAAGGGAAGUUAGAAUUCCAGGUGUAGGGGUGAAAUCUGUAGAUAUCUGGAAGAAUACCGGUGGCGAAGGCGAACUUCUGGCCAAUGACUGACGCUGAGGUACGAAAGUGCGGGGAGCAAACAGGAUUAGAAACCCCAGUAGUCC